Molecule: ribosomal RNA, 486 nt
Filed under: uncultured bacterium
Lineage: Bacteria
Description: partial 16S ribosomal RNA
Rfam family: Bacterial small subunit ribosomal RNA
Source: RNAcentral
GAUGAACGCUGGCGGCGUGCCUAAUACAUGCAAGUCGAACGCUGGAAAUCUAGCUUGCUAGAUUGAAGGAGUGGCGAACGGGUGAGUAAUACAUAAGCAACCUACCCACGAAGACUGGGAUAAUCUCUGGAAACGGGGACUAAUACCGGCUAGGUAAUCGGAAGGCAUCUUCUGAUUAUUAAAGGUUAAAAACACUGGUGGAUGGGCUUAUGGCGCAUUAGUUAGUUGGUGAGGUAACGGCCCACCAAGACGAUGAUGCGUAGCCGGCCUGAGAGGGUGAACGGCCACAUUGGGACUGAGACACGGCCCAGAAUCCUACGGGAGGCAGCAGUAGGGAAUUUUCGGCAAUGGGGGAAAACCUGACCGAGCAACGCCGCGUGAGUGAUGACGGCCUUCGGGUUGUAAAGCUCUGUUGUAAGGAAAGAACGGUAGAUAGAGAAUAUCUAAAUGACGGUACCUUACCAGAAAGCCACGGCUAACUACGUG